CAUCCAGUCUGUGAUCAAGUUCAGCCAGAAAAAUGGAGCUUUAGAUGAAAACAGAAGUUGCUUACUGUGACAGGAAUAGCGAAUCACAGGCAAGAAUGAAACAGCUGACACAAAGGUGUGAGCUUUUGAGUUUAGAAAGUGAAGUUCUGGGGAGGUUUGGCAGGUGGGGAAACUCCAAAGUGCCAUGUAGCCCAAAGAAAGGGAGCUGUGCUGUCGGAUGUCUAUCAGUGGAGAGAUGUCAAGAAAAGCUGUUCCACUGGAGAGUCAUUGAAUUCAAGAUUCUUAGGACUAAAGAGCAGCUCUUUUAUAUCUGGGUGCUGGGUAAGAAACCCAAAGAGUCUCCCUACCCCUAUUUUGAUCCUAACUCCUUUUAAGAAAAGCAUUUAGAGGAAUCUGCCUGAAUAAAUCAAAUAGACUCCCAUGGCCUCAGAAAGCAAAUACAAUCAGCAUAUCGAGGAAUUUCUCAAUAUCUCCUUUUCCCUUUAUUCUUCUCUUUUUUCUCUCUUCUCCCUUUCUCCUCCUCCUUCUUUUUCUUUUUCCUUUCUCCCUCUCUCCCCUCCAUGUUCCCCUUCAAAAACAUUUGCUAGCCUCUUGCUCGAGCAUCCUUUUGUUAUACAGGGACUCAACCCCUCUGACAGGUGGGGUUGGAGACCUGAGCAAGGACUGUCCUAGGAGGACACUGCCUGUCUUGUGAAUCUUUCUGUCUUUAGAUGCACUAAAAAUGACAUCUAUGCUACUUUUCAAUCUACAGGCUCAUUUUUAGACAUAGAUUUCAACAUUUCUUUCCCUCUCUAAUAGAGUCAAACUAAUAGACUCAUGUCGUUUGUCAUCAAGGAAGAGAGAACAUUUACGUUUUCUAAAAGUAUAACUUACUAAUGACCCGGGGUGGCUUUUAAAGAUAGAAGUGCUAUUGGGGCCCUGUUGCGUCAAAGGAGCAUUCAAGACCCCUGUCCUGGCCGGCUGUGAAAUGUGUGAUCGAUUUCUGAAAAACCUAUACAAAAAGAAGUUAAAAGAGACCAUGUAAGAAGUAAAAGAAAUAAAUUGAACACACAUGUGCGAUCGUUAUUCAUAUGAGCAUUCUCUGUAUUACUUCAUAACACAGCUGUAUACACAAAAAAAACAGUCCCCUUUGCUUCUUCCUAUUGGAGUCUUAUUAAUUUCUGUCUAAUGAAACGCAAAUGUUUCUAUGCUUCAUUUUGGGGAGCACGGUCUAGUCGGGUGUUUGUUAAGCACUGGCCAGAGCUGCUGUGCCCAUCUAAUACAAACGUCUGUAGGCCUUUCAGAGUCCCUUGACAGAGCAUCUUUUGAGCAUGCCAGUUGUCAUGGUCACCAGUGUGCUGAUUUGCAAGGAAAAUUGGAAGCUAUGCUCAUUACGUCAAAAACUACAUUGGGGGAUAAAGGGAGCAUGUCUGCUUCAAGAGUUGGCAAUUGGGGUUUGUUAGUCUCUCCGCCCACACACUUCCAUCAAACAAUGUCUCAUUCAACUGCAUAAGUCAAAGUUUACAACUCCCCUCUUUCCAGCUGGAACAGGCCUGGGAAGUGUGAACGAAAAUCAUGGCUCACAGAAUCACAGAACAGGCUUGCAGGCCGAGCUGUUCCGAUAGUGCUUGGAGUGUCUUCUCAGCCCACAAGAAGGGUUUCAGUCUCUGCUGAUGGUUGGCAAACUUGAGCCUCUGUGUCACCUGCUUCUAAAGUUUACUGGCCCCAGGUCCGUACAGACCAGUGACCGAGUUGAUCUCCCGCCCACCUCAUCAGUGUUUGCAGCUGCUCCAUCUCUGUGCCUUGGGCUUGGGAGUUUGUCUUCAGGCAUCACCACGAAAGUGGGCUAUACGACUCCAGAUGUUGAGAGAAACGUUUACUGUUACAUUAUUAUGGUUUGAGGUGGUCAUGUGUACUUCUGUAGCUUUUAUCCUUUUCCUAUUUGUGCAUCAUUAAAAUGGAACGUUACAAGGGAAUCAACAGAGGGAAGCCUAAAUAGUGCAGGAAAAAUUGUGUGAACGCCUUUGGGAAUAAAACUCUUCAUUCAUUUUCAAGCUCUUUUAGGAACAUUAACUUGCUGAGUGCACCUCCACUUUCCCAUCGGGACUAAAGAAACGAAGCAGAAAUCAAUGAAAUGAGUCAAAUAUAGUUCCAUAUCACACUAUCUCUAGAAUUUAGAACACAUCCAAAUUUACAUAAGACAUGUGGUAUAAUUAUAACUUCGUCCUGUGUCUCAAAGGAGAAGGGCAGGCCACCUGGCCUGAGAAAUCAGAGAAGGCUUUGUUGAGAAAGCGAUCUUUUAUCCUUGCCCUGAAAAGUAAAUAGGAUUGGUCUAGGUGAAGGUGGAAGUGGGAAGAGAGGAGGAAAUAAGGGGUAAGCAUUCAGGAAGAAGGCAUUGCCUAGGUAACGCCACAAAGUAGGAAGGGACAUGAUGAAGGGAACAGAAAGCAGGCCAGAGUAGCGUGCGUGAGGUGUGUGUGUAUGCGUGUGUGUGUGUGUGUGUGUGUGUGUGUGUGUGUGAACACAUGUUAUUUUUGGAGGACUGACUACUAGGAAAUGCCCAAGAGCCCAAGAUGAGGCUAGAGAAGUAGAAAGGGCCCAGAUCAUGCCCACAUGAUCCUAUCUUAAGAGCAGGCCAUGUUAAGGAUUUUGGGUUUGAGCUUAUGGACCACACCAAAUGGGUUUAAGCAGAGAGCAAACUGUACCUCAGACACUGCAUCUAAGAAGUGUUCCCAUUUCCCUUCCGCAUGUUAUUUGAAAACCUUUAAUAUCAUCUUGUAUUAAAAACAUUUAAGUAUGGAUCUGUCUCCACUAUACUAUGAUCCCCUUGUAGGCCAGAAUUAGGACUUUUUCAUCUUUGUAUCAUUUGCAGCAUGGCUAGCAGGAUAAUGUAGGAAGAAUUUAUUGGCAUGGAAGGAGCUUUGGAAUCAGGCAGAUCUGGCUUUGAUUCCAGUCACUGUGUUUUUCCAACUGUACAACACUAACCAUGUACCCAGGGCAGUGCAGUAGGAGAGCCCACCCUGGGUGCAGGCAGUAAGGGUGUGCAUUGCUGUUGAGAAUUUAAAAACAAUAAUAAACCAAACUGAAAGUCAAUCUGCUUUUUAUUAUCACCAUGUGCUGGCAAUUCUAAACAAUGUCAGCGAUAAAACACUCCUCCCUAAAAGAAUCCUUUGUGGGCCUAGGUUCUGAAUAAUUGUCAUGGUGACCACUGAGGUUUUUUCCAUUUUAUUAUAAAAAUGUCAGAUAGAUAGAAAGGUUGAAAUGAUUUUAUAGUGAAAAUUCAUCAUGUAGAUUUUAAAAUUUAACAAGUUACAUUGCUUCACAUAAAUCUAUAUGUAGCCAUCUGUCAACCCUUCUAUUUAUCUAUCAGUCAAUUUUUGGACACAUUUCAGAGUAAGAUGCAUUCCUGAGUGGACUGCCCCCUAAAUAUUUUAGUACGAGCAUCAUAAACUAAUGUUAUCACUUAGUUGAAGGAGCUUGGUAUUUGUUUAAGGCUAUUAUUUUUCUUUUGAGAUAAAAUUUGCAUAGCAUGAAACACAAAUUCUAAGGGCACCGUUUCUUUUUCUUUCUUUCUUUUUUUCUG
Molecule: non-coding RNA, 3562 nt
Organism: Sus scrofa (pig)
Lineage: Eukaryota; Metazoa; Chordata; Mammalia; Artiodactyla; Suidae
Source: RefSeq, a predicted model, not a curated record